CCAGACUCCUACGGGAGGCAGCAGUGGGGAAUAUUGCACAAUGGGGGAAACCCUGAUGCAGCAACGCCGCGUGAGUGAAGAAGUAUUUCGGUAUGUAAAGCUCUAUCAGCAGGGAAGAAGAUGACGGUACCUGAUUAAGAAGCCCCGGCUAACUACGUGCCAGCAGCCGCGGUAAUACGUAGGGGGCAAGCGUUAUCCGGAUUUACUGGGUGUAAAGGGAGCGUAGACGGCAGCGCAAGUCUGAAGUGAAAUCCCAUGGCUUAACCAUGGAACUGCUUUGGAAACUGUGCAGCUGGAGUGCAGGAGAGGUAAGCGGAAUUCCUAGUGUAGCGGUGAAAUGCGUAGAUAUCGGGAGGAACACCAGUGGCGAAGGCGGUUUACUGGACCACAACUGACGCUGAGACACGAAAGCGUGGGGAGCAAACAGGAUUAGAUACCCCAGUAA
RNAcentral lists this ribosomal RNA (445 nucleotides) under uncultured bacterium. RNAcentral describes it as "bacterial SSU rRNA". It matches the Rfam family "Bacterial small subunit ribosomal RNA", at positions 331 to 793 of the family's 1533-position model. The record is from RNAcentral.